This 445-nucleotide ribosomal RNA is filed under the name uncultured bacterium. RNAcentral describes it as "partial 16S ribosomal RNA". It matches the Rfam family "Bacterial small subunit ribosomal RNA", at positions 354 to 796 of the family's 1533-position model. The record is from RNAcentral.
GUGAGGAAUAUUGAUCAAUGGGCGAGAGCCUGAACCAGCCAAGUCGCGUGAAGGAAGAAGGAUCUAUGGUUCGUAAACUUCUUUUGCAGGGGAAUAAAGUGCAGGACGUGUCCUGUUUUGUAUGUACCCUGAGAAUAAGGAUCGGCUAACUCCGUGCCAGCAGCCGCGGUAAUACGGAGGAUCCGAGCGUUAUCCGGAUUUAUUGGGUUUAAAGGGUGCGUAGGUGGUUUGAUAAGUCAGCGGUGAAAGUUUGCAGCUUAACUGUAAAAAUGCCGUUGAAGCUGUCGGACUUGAGUGUAAAUGAGGUAGGCGGAAUGCGUGGUGUAGCGGUGAAAUGCAUAGAUAUCACGCAGAACUCCGAUUGCGAAGGCAGCUUACUAAGCUACAACUGACACUGAAGCACGAAAGCGUGGGGAUCAAACAGGAUUAGAAACCCUGGUAGUCC